CUUUGUUUAGAACGUGAGGAAGCGGGACAAUGUGGAGACAUCUCACCUCACUUCGCUUUUUCAAGGCUUGCAGCAGUCCGUUUCUCUCGCUCUGUAUCAUUAGGCUGUCUGCGGUAAAUUUGGAGUGGAAUAACUCGUCUUCAGGAAUCACGAUCAACAAAAGAGUGUCUGCUUGCCAACGUUAGAAACUGCUGAGACGAUCCACAGACAGAUCCACAGACAGAUCCACAGGGUGAUGUGACAGCGACGACCACCUGUUCUCACUAAUAACGAUGAAGAUGAGGGUCCUGGGGCCAGAGAGGUUCGGUGUUCUGCUGGGUGUGUCCCUCCAACUGCUGCUGUUGCUACCAGACACCUCUUCUACCGCUGCAACCUGGAGCCAGAGUGGACCCCGCCUGCAGCUCUCACACACAGAGUUGCAUUGGAGGAACAGUUCCAGUGUGUUCUGGGACAGAGGUGUGAGUGGGGGUUACCAGGCCCUGCUGCUGGAUGAGGACCGUGGCUGGCUGCUGGUGGGAGGAAGAGACCACGUCUACCUGCUGCACUCUAACAGUCUGGAUCUUCCUACACGCACGAUCUACUGGCCAGCUGCGACAGAACACGUUGAACACUGCAGGCUGGCAGGAAAGAACCUU
This is a long non-coding RNA of Oncorhynchus masou masou (cherry salmon), 635 nucleotides long. RefSeq lists it as uncharacterized. The transcript has 4 exons. The record is from RefSeq and is a predicted model, not a curated record. NCBI's taxonomy places the organism in Eukaryota, Metazoa, Chordata, Actinopteri, Salmoniformes, Salmonidae.